Molecule: ribosomal RNA, 444 nt
Filed under: uncultured bacterium
Lineage: Bacteria
Description: partial 16S ribosomal RNA
Rfam family: Bacterial small subunit ribosomal RNA
Source: RNAcentral
GUGAGGAAUAUUGGUCAAUGGGCGGGAGCCUGAACCAGCCAAGUCGCGUGAAGGAAGAAGGAUCUAUGGUUCGUAAACUUCUUUUGCAGGGGAAUAAAGUGCAGGACGUGUCCUGUUUUGUAUGUACCCUGAGAAUAAGGAUCGGCUAACUCCGUGCCAGCAGCCGCGGUAAUACGGAGGAUCCGAGCGUUAUCCGGAUUUAUUGGGUGUAAAGGGUGCGUAGGUGGUUUGAUAAGUCAGCGGUGAAAGUUUGCAGCUUAACUGUAAAAAUGCCGUUGAAACUGUCGGACUUGAGUGUAAAUGAGGUAGGCGGAAUGCGUGGUGUAGCGGUGAAAUGCAUAGAUAUCACGCAGAACUCCGAUUGCGAAGGCAGCUUACUAAGCUACAACUGACACUGAAGCACGAAAGCGUGGGGAUCAAACAGGAUUAGAUACCCUAUAGUCC